UACAGAGGGUGCGAGCGUUAAUCGGAAUUACUGGGCGUAAAGGGCGCGUAGGCGGCCUGUUAAGUCGAACGUGAAAUCCCCGGGCUCAACCCGGGAACUGCGUCCGAUACUGGCAGGCUUGAAUUCGGGAGAGGGAUGUGGAAUUCCAGGUGUAGCGGUGAAAUGCGUAGAUAUCUGGAGGAACACCGGUGGCGAAGGCGGCAUCCUGGACCGAUAUUGACGCUGAUGCGCGAAAGCCAGGGGAGCAAACGGG
RNAcentral lists this ribosomal RNA (253 nucleotides) under uncultured bacterium. RNAcentral's name for it is "partial 16S ribosomal RNA". It matches the Rfam family "Bacterial small subunit ribosomal RNA", at positions 524 to 776 of the family's 1533-position model. The record is from RNAcentral.